GAUGAACGCUGGCGGCGUGCCUAAUACAUGCAAGUCGAGCGAACAGACGAGGAGCUUGCUCCUUCGACGUUAGCGGCGGACGGGUGAGUAACACGUAGGUAACCUACCUAUAAGACUGGGAUAACUUCGGGAAACCGGAGCUAAUACCGGAUAAUAUUUCGAACCGCAUGGUUCGGUAGUGAAAGAUGGCUUUGCUAUCACUUAUAGAUGGACCUGCGCCGUAUUAGCUAGUUGGUAAGGUAACGGCUUACCAAGGCAACGAUACGUAGCCGACCUGAGAGGGUGAUCGGCCACACUGGAACUGAGACACGGUCCAGACUCCUACGGGAGGCAGCAGUAGGGAAUCUUCCGCAAUGGGCGAAAGCCUGACGGAGCAACGCCGCGUGAGUGAUGAAGGUCUUCGGAUCGUAAAACUCUGUUAUUAGGGAAGAACAAACGUGUAAGUAACUGUGCACGUCUUGACGGUACCUAAUCAGAAAGCCACGGCUAACUACGUG
RNAcentral lists this ribosomal RNA (497 nucleotides) under uncultured bacterium. RNAcentral describes it as "partial 16S ribosomal RNA". It matches the Rfam family "Bacterial small subunit ribosomal RNA", at positions 28 to 507 of the family's 1533-position model. The record is from RNAcentral.